GUUGGCAAUUAGGUGUUUAUAUUUUGUUUUUAUUAAAUUUGUAUACCUGUCCAUUUUGUCUAUAUGGUAGUUAUGCUGUUAAGAAUUAAAGAAACAAAACCUAGAGUUGAUGAUAUUUAACUGAUGAGCAGGACGUAGAUAAUCAUAUUUGCUUUAUCAUUUAAUUACAGGGAAAACAGAUCAUUAAAAUAAACUUAAUUGGAUAAUGAUGCAUUCAGUAUUAGGCUGUCAGUUUACUAAUAUUCAAAGCUAAAAUGUAGAUGUUAUUCCUAACAAACAAACAAAUGAAGAAUCUUGAAAGUUAACUUGCAUCAUGCUUUUUGGAAAUCAAGAUGCAUUAAGACAUGUAAACAGGUAAAAGAUUUGAAAAUGUCUUUAUAUGUCAUUUGCUGAAGUCAUGGUUGAUCUCUUCUUAUCAUUUUUAUUAGUUUUCUUUAUUUCUUUCCCUCUCUGAUGCAGCGAAUGCCAAAAACAUAGUGAACCUUAACUUCAUUAUCUUUGUAGAGAGAGUUUUGAUAGUACAGAGUUGCAGUAAAUGCUCCAAAACAUGAUUUCUUAUAGUUGGGACUAGUAUGUUGUUACUUAUUUACUUCACCAUUGCCUAGCUUAGUUUAUUCUUGCUUCUUUAUGUAUUUUUCCCAUCCUUUGCUUGUUUAUUUUUACUUUACUGAAUAUCUCCCCUUCUCUCUCCCCAUUCUUAGGGUUAUCUUAUAUAAUAAUGUUGAUUCAAUGUAAGUAUGAGCUUCCAUAAUCAGAAAACCUCGUUUGUCAACCUGGUAUUGUAUUGGUCAAUGUUCAUUCCACUUCCCAUAUUUCUUGGUUUUUAGAUCUUUUGUUAUACAUGUUUAUUUUUACUUUACUGAAUAUCUCCCCUUCUCUCUCCCCAUUCUUAGGGUUAUCUUAUAUAAUAAUGUUGAUUCAAUGUAAGUAUGAGCUUCCAUAAUCAGAAAACCUCGUUUGUCAACCUGGUAUUGUAUUGGUCAAUGUUCAUUCCACUUCCCAUAUUUCUUGGUUUUUAGAUCUUUUGUUAUACA
RNAcentral lists this unclassified non-coding RNA (1034 nucleotides) under Hevea brasiliensis (rubber tree). Lineage: Eukaryota; Viridiplantae; Streptophyta; Magnoliopsida; Malpighiales; Euphorbiaceae. The record is from RNAcentral.